UCCCUGGAAGACUAGUGGUUAGGCCACAGUGCUGCCACCGCUGCUGCCCAGGUUCGAUUCCUGGCCAGGAAA
This 72-nucleotide transfer RNA is filed under the name Pangasianodon gigas (Mekong giant catfish). RNAcentral describes it as "tRNA-Gly". It matches the Rfam family "tRNA". From Rfam's summary of the family: Transfer RNA (tRNA) molecules are approximately 80 nucleotides in length. Their secondary structure includes four short double-helical elements and three loops (D, anti-codon, and T loops). Further hydrogen bonds mediate the characteristic L-shaped molecular structure. tRNAs have two regions of fundamental functional importance: the anti-codon, which is responsible for specific mRNA codon recognition, and the 3' end, to which the tRNAs corresponding amino acid is attached (by aminoacyl-tRNA synthetases). tRNAs cope with the degeneracy of the genetic code in two manners: having more than one tRNA (with a specific anti-codon) for a particular amino acid; and 'wobble' base-pairing, i.e. permitting non-standard base-pairing at the 3rd anti-codon position. The record is from RNAcentral. Lineage: Eukaryota; Metazoa; Chordata; Actinopteri; Siluriformes; Pangasiidae.